UCCGAUUUGUCACCGGCAGUCUCCUAUGAGUCCCCGUCUUUCACGCUGGCAACAUAGGACAGGGGUUGCGCUCGUUGCGGGACUUAACCCAACACCUCACGGCACGAGCUGACGACAACCAUGCACCACCUGUAUAGGGCCCCGAAGGACACUACAUCUCUGUAGCUUUUCCCUAUAUUUCAAGCCCUGGUAAGGUUCUUCGCGUUGCGUCGAAUUAAGCCACAUGCUCCGCCGCUUGUGCGGGUCCCCGUCAAUUCCUUUGAGUUUUAGCCUUGCGGCCGUACUCCCCAGGCGGGGCGCUUAAUGCGUUAGCUACGGCACGGAUCCCAUGGAAGGGGACCCACACCUAGCGCCCAACGUUUACGGCGUGGACUAC
Molecule: unclassified non-coding RNA, 376 nt
Filed under: uncultured Actinomycetes bacterium
Lineage: Bacteria; Bacillati; Actinomycetota; Actinomycetes
Description: uncultured actinobacterium contains 16S-23S intergenic spacer region
Source: RNAcentral